GAUAAGGGAAGGCAACUUUAUUAUCACUCGCGUUCGUCCGGGUUCAGGACGAUCGCGUCCCCUCCUUUGUUAGCAGAACGCGACUGUCCUUAACGCGUAAGGUAUGGGGGAUUAAAACCUUCUCCAUUCAUCGCGUACCCUCCUUUGUUUAGAGAACGCGAGCGUCCCAAACGGGUCCCCAAUGAAAGGGGCAAGAAUGGGGGGAUUAUCUUACAUAAUAUUACAUAAUUCUUGAGAGGAAUAGGGUUUCUAUUUGUCGCGCUAAGAGGGGCAAGAACUCGUUUAAUCACCUUGCCAGUAAAAUUCCUUCCUUCCAGCGAUCGGAAGGCUUUCCCCAUUUUAAAUGAAAUGUAAAUGAAAUGAAAACUGUGUGAAUCGCAAUCAAUGCAGAGGUCCGUUGUUUGAGGUUGAGAGAGAGAGAGGUAGAGGGACGUAGACAUGCAUGUUUUGUUCUUUGAAAUAUUUACUCUACGAGACUGUUAUGUAUUUUUUUAUAUGUCAUCUAUUUUGGAGGUUUGGUCUUAUGAAAACUGAUUUUGAAUGAGUGAUACAAGGCCGCGGCCGCCUUGUAGUUGUAGCGACCAGCAGCGCUAGAACAAUUUAUAAUUUGCAUACCCUGUGCCGCCCAUUGAACCCUGGGAAGGGUAAUAGACAUUCUGACAUUUCUAUCGAUCUUUUCGUGGGUACAAUGAAUAGGCACAAAUGAAGUACUAGAAAGUUGGAUUGAUAACCGUAUCUUGGAAAUGUUGUAAUCAACACCCAAGUUCAGACAGACCGCGAUAUUUACGAUUGUCAGCCUACGCCUUUGUUCUGAGAGCGCCGACUUGUGGCGGGAAUGUCAUAAUAAAUCUGUCAUUAUUUGUAUGUCGUUGUUGCGACUGGACAAUGGCGCACUGUAUAGGUCGAUUGCUUAUCUGAAAUGAGGCGAGUCAUGUCAAUCAACACCAAAGUUCCAAAACAUCGCGUAUAUUAAACAUCGUUACGCGCCUUCGUAAUGCACACCCUCCCCAAUUUAAAUGCAAUUCCGAGAAAAAAAUAUAUGAUAAAAUUAAGUUUGUAUUUUAAUAAUUGAAGAAAAAAAGAAGAAAAAAAAAAUUAUUUUAAAGAGGUGGAAUUACAAAAUUAGAGGGGGCAGAUAAAGUAGGUGAAGAAAAAAAAAAUUAAGUUUCAAGAUAAAGAAAUCGGGAGAUGUAUUGAAGAAUGAAUUCGCAGUUU
Long non-coding RNA from Strongylocentrotus purpuratus (purple sea urchin), 1215 nucleotides. RefSeq lists it as uncharacterized. The transcript is spliced from 2 exons. The record is from RefSeq and is a predicted model, not a curated record. NCBI's taxonomy places the organism in Eukaryota, Metazoa, Echinodermata, Echinoidea, Camarodonta, Strongylocentrotidae.